GGGGACGACGUCAAGUCAGUAUGGCCCUUACGGCCAGGGCUGCACACGUACUACAAUGCCCAGUACAGAAGGAUCCUAGACCGCGAGGUGGAGGAAAUCACUAAAACUGGGCCCAGUUCAGAUUGAAGUCUGCAACUCGACUUCAUGAAGCCGGAAUCGCUAGUAAUGGCGCAUCAGCUACGGCGCCGUGAAUACGUUCCCGGGCCUUGUACACACCGCCCGUCACAUCAUGGAAGUCGCUUGUAGCCGAAGUCGGCGCGCUAACCGCAAGGAGGCAGCCGCCUACGCUAUGAGCGGUAACUGGGAUGAAGUCGUAACAAGGUAGCCGUAGGGGAACCUGCGGCUGGAUCACCUCCUUUCUAAGGAGUAAG
RNAcentral lists this ribosomal RNA (371 nucleotides) under Verrucomicrobiota bacterium. Its description in RNAcentral is "bacterial SSU rRNA". It matches the Rfam family "Bacterial small subunit ribosomal RNA", at positions 1175 to 1533 of the family's 1533-position model. The record is from RNAcentral. Lineage: Bacteria; Pseudomonadati; Verrucomicrobiota.